This is a Y RNA of Callithrix jacchus (white-tufted-ear marmoset), 102 nucleotides long. It matches the Rfam family "Y RNA". From Rfam's summary of the family: Y RNAs are components of the Ro ribonucleoprotein particle (Ro RNP), in association with Ro60 and La proteins. The Y RNAs and Ro60 and La proteins are well conserved, but the function of the Ro RNP is not known. In humans the RNA component can be one of four small RNAs -- hY1, hY3, hY4 and hY5. Lineage: Eukaryota; Metazoa; Chordata; Mammalia; Primates; Cebidae. The record is from Ensembl.
GGCUCGUCUGAGUGCAGUGGUGUUUACAACAAAUUGAUCACAACCAGUUACAGAUUUCUUUGUUCCUUCUCCACUCCCACUGCUUCACUUGACUAGCCUAAA